CAUGUCAGGGAGACGCUGUGUGUUUCUAGGCGAAAGCAAAAGCACUUUAUUUGGCCUUCCGAAAGUAGAUGCAUUUAGGAAUCAUUAAGAUUACUUACAACAGAACAGCACAACCCAGAGGUUAUCACAACGCAUUUUAUGGACGACCGUUCUGUGAACCUAGGAGAGGAGGUGAAGUACUGAAUGCCAGAGUGACAAGUGCUGCAAGAUACAAGUUGGUACACUUUCAGAAAAAAGUUGUUCUCCAGUACUUCCCUCCCUCACGCAUCACUGACAGAGCUGAUAAAUGGCAGGUGCAGCUGGAUUAUCUGUGAAUGUGCUGAAAAACCAUCAGGGAGACAAGAGGGCUUCAUUUCUGAGCAUAGCCUGUGGGUCGCCUGAUGACUCCUCACAAUGACAACACCUAUCAGAGCCGAUGCACAGCAGCCUGUGUCCCCAAAGAAUCUGAUGUAGCCCAGUGAAUUUAGUUUAUUGCCCCUAGUUAAAUUUAGAUAUGCUUUUUAAAAGUUCUGAGAAACUUACAAAGUAGUAGGCCUACACUAUUCAUGCAGAGCAAUGUGAACAUUGCCAAAGUUGCUCAUAAAACCUAACCUUUAACCUGCUUGCUAAGUAAAGCAUCAGUCUAUGCUCCUAAAAAUAAAUGUUAUUGACUAUGGCUCCAUGAACAAGCUUUAACAUUCAUGAAAGCCUUCCAAAAGAGUCUUUAUAGUGGAAAAAUUAUUUAGAUUAUUAAAAUAAUGGUUAUGAAAACGAACUGUUGAUUGAAAGGUUCUUUUGGGAUACAGAAAUGAUUUUCCUAUGGAAUUGCUGUGAAAACUUGCUUUUGGUACCUUUAUUUUUAUGAGCGCAGCAUCUUACACUAAAAACUACCAGGAUAUUUUAGACAUGAAACCAUGGUAGUACCAUGAAUACACCAUGGUACAUGAAAAUAAGGUAAUUCCGUGUCAACUCAACCAGAGGUCCC
Onychostoma macrolepis is the source of this 964-nucleotide long non-coding RNA. RefSeq lists it as uncharacterized. The record is from RefSeq and is a predicted model, not a curated record. NCBI's taxonomy places the organism in Eukaryota, Metazoa, Chordata, Actinopteri, Cypriniformes, Cyprinidae. The transcript is spliced from 3 exons.